AUUGUAUUGUGGUACGCAAACAGGACUAGAUACCAGGAAUGUCCAAAAAACUUUUUAUUGAAAGCUUGCUCCGUACUCACGUAUUUCAAGAACACCCUAAGAGGUAGGUACACCUAGGUGAAGGUAAAAAUACACACAAGUGAAUAUCGAUUGUAGUAUAGCUUACUUCCUUCUUCACACCAUGGUAUUUCAAUGGCCCUCCAUCGCACUAAAUGAACGCUUAUUGACAAGUCUUCAUCGAAUACACACAAAAAAAUAAAAAAAUGAAGGAAAAAAAACACGUAACUUUAAAUUUGGGACGCAUAACAAAUACCAAUUCUUUAUUUGAUAUGAGGAAAUAUGCCUUCAUCGCCUAAGCGAUGAUUAAAUUAAUCAUCACCAUAGAGAUGAUGAAUAAAAUAACUCCCUUAAACUGCAAGUUCGGUAAUGUGUUAACUCCUACUACUGUGCUACUCCUACUACGUAGCUAUAACGUAAUCGCGCGCAGCAAACGCAUAGAACGCAUCCGAUGCACCCAAAAAUAGUAUAAAUAGAGCAACACGGACGCGAGCCAAACUAGAUGUAUUUUAAUCAAGUUGAACUUGAACAAAGCUCGUCGCGAAGAGUGGUUCUUGGUCAAAAAGUGUACUUAUGUAGAUACGAGUAGAUGAAGUCCUCUACGGGGAUGCUCAUCUCCUUUUAUUCAGUCUUCGCCCACUUUUAGUGGUUAAAAUGUUUCUCGCUUCGUGAUUUAAAUUAUCGUAUACGUAAUUAAUCGCGUUCACACCGGAUAUCAUCCGAUUAUGCUGGCCAUCGGAGAUAGUCCUAGAAGAAUAGGUACCUCGUGUAUUACAUUGCUGUCGACCGGCCUAGUAUUAGUGAGCCACCUUGAAAGAGACAGUAGAAGCGGACAUUAUGUGAACCUGGAUUACGUACACUGGUUCGAAUAUUUCAAUUUAACUCAAUAGAUUUCCAAACCGGGGCACCUCAGAAGGUGCUGGAGCAGUUCAUUUUAGGAUGUUGAAUGGGUGUAGUUUAAGCACUUCAUACUUGUAAAUACUGACUUACUUAUUUUCGUUCUCUAAUAACAAACAUUUGUAUCCACAUCCACUUACCUGAAACAAAAGAAAAAAAUGCAAAUAAAUUAUCGAUUGGUGCAUUGA
Molecule: long non-coding RNA, 1142 nt
Organism: Planococcus citri (citrus mealybug)
Lineage: Eukaryota; Metazoa; Arthropoda; Insecta; Hemiptera; Pseudococcidae
Exons: 2
Source: RefSeq, a predicted model, not a curated record